Molecule: small nuclear RNA, 107 nt
Organism: Erinaceus europaeus (western European hedgehog)
Lineage: Eukaryota; Metazoa; Chordata; Mammalia; Eulipotyphla; Erinaceidae
Source: Ensembl
GUGCUUUCUCCAGCAGCACAUGUACUAAAAUUUAAACAAUGCAGAGAAGAUUAGCCUGACCUCUACACAGGAGUGAUAUGCAAAUUCAUGGGGCAUUACAUAAAAAU